This 965-nucleotide ribosomal RNA is filed under the name Salmonella enterica. RNAcentral describes it as "bacterial LSU rRNA". It matches the Rfam family "Bacterial large subunit ribosomal RNA", at positions 711 to 1590 of the family's 2925-position model. RNAcentral also lists the same sequence under 2 other names. The record is from RNAcentral. Lineage: Bacteria; Pseudomonadati; Pseudomonadota; Gammaproteobacteria; Enterobacterales; Enterobacteriaceae.
AGACCCGAAACCCGGUGAUCUAGCCAUGGGCAGGUUGAAGGUUGGGUAACACUAACUGGAGGACCGAACCGACUAAUGUUGAAAAAUUAGCGGAUGACCUGUGGCUGGGGGUGAAAGGCCAAUCAAACCGGGAGAUAGCUGGUUCUCCCCGAAAGCUAUUUAGGUAGCGCCUCGUGAAUUCAUCUCCGGGGGUAGAGCACUGUUUCGGCUAGGGGGCCAUCCCGGCUUACCAACCCGAUGCAAACUGCGAAUACCGGAGAAUGUUAUCACGGGAGACACACGGCGGGUGCUAACGUCCGUCGUGAAGAGGGAAACAACCCAGACCGCCAGCUAAGGUCCCAAAGUCAUGGUUAAGUGGGAAACGAUGUGGGAAGGCCCAGACAGCCAGGAUGUUGGCUUAGAAGCAGCCAUCAUUUAAAGAAAGCGUAAUAGCUCACUGGUCGAGUCGGCCUGCGCGGAAGAUGUAACGGGGCUAAACCAUGCACCGAAGCUGCGGCAGCGAACGUAUCACCCAAGACAACUUUACGGAGUUGACGAUUGACGGAGCGAAGCGACGUCAAAGCGUUCAUUAAAGUCGAGUUGGCUUAGGGAUACGUUCGUUGGGUAGGGGAGCGUUCUGUAAGCCUGUGAAGGUGUGUCGUGAGGCAUGCUGGAGGUAUCAGAAGUGCGAAUGCUGACAUAAGUAACGAUAAAGCGGGUGAAAAGCCCGCUCGCCGGAAGACCAAGGGUUCCUGUCCAACGUUAAUCGGGGCAGGGUGAGUCGACCCCUAAGGCGAGGCCGAAAGGCGUAGUCGAUGGGAAACGGGUUAAUAUUCCCGUACUUGGUGUUACUGCGAAGGGGGGACGGAGAAGGCUAUGUUGGCCGGGCGACGGUUGUCCCGGUUUAAGCGUGUAGGUGUGUGUUCCAGGUAAAUCCGGUUCACUUUAACACUGAGGCGUGACGACGAGGCACUACGGUGCUGAAG